AAACGCCCGGGUAUUACAAGCGCAAGCUUAAAACCCAAGGGAUUUGACGGUGUCCCACCCACCUAGAGGAGCCUAUUCUAUAAUCGAUAAUCCACGAUACACCUCACCAUUUUUUGCCUUUCUCAGCCUGUAUACCUCCGUCGACAACUUACCAUUUGAAUGCUACAAAGUAGGUUCAACUGGCCUUGCACGCCAAUACGUCAGGUCAAGGUGCAGCCUAUAAAAUGGAAAGCAACGGGCUACAAUUUCUAAAAUAGAACAAACGAAAAACUAUAUGAAAAAUAGUCAUGAAGGCGGAUUUAGUAGUAAAAGAAGAAUAAUAAGCUUCUUUUAAUGAGGCUCUGGGACGUGUACAAACCGCCCGUCACCCUCUUCAACAACUCCCACUAAUUUUUAAUAAAUAACUAGUACUACAGAAGAGGCAAGUCGUAACAUGGUAAGUGUACUGGAAAGUGCACUUGGCUAAACAAAGUGUAGCUUAAUCUAAAGCCUUCCGCUUACACCGAAAAAUUAUCUAUUAAACCUAGAUCACUUUGAGCCUUAAAUCUAGCCAAUAUACUUCGUAUGUAACCCCCCCCACAAAUCAAGAUACAAUAAAACAUUUUAACAGUUGAGUAGAGGUGAU
This 625-nucleotide ribosomal RNA is filed under the name Gephyromantis zavona. RNAcentral's name for it is "partial 12S ribosomal RNA". The stretch from base 1 to 474 matches the Rfam family "Bacterial small subunit ribosomal RNA", at positions 867 to 1533 of the family's 1533-position model. Lineage: Eukaryota; Metazoa; Chordata; Amphibia; Anura; Mantellidae. The record is from RNAcentral.